GCUCAACCCUGAAACUACUGAAGUAGUUUAUCCGCAUUAACUGAUGGAGGGUCUCUCGGAGCCACUGCUUGCAGAGAUCAUCAAGAGGAUUACAAGGACAAGAAUUCUCUUUCCCUUGUGUCAAAACAGCUCUAUAAUGCUGAGGCAGAGGAAAGGGGUACUAUCCAUGUUGGCUGCAGUCUUCACCCUGCAACAGAAAUCUUGUCCUCACUGUGCUUCCGGUUUCCCAACUUGCGGAAAGUAGAGAUCAAUUACUCUGGUUGGACGUCCAAACAAGGGAAACAGUUGGACAACCAAGGGAUUCUUGUGCUUUCGUCACAGUGCCCUUUGCUGACGGAUCUCACCCUAAGCUUCUGCUCCUACGUUAAUGACACAGGCAUUGGUUAUCUAGCAUAUUGCAAGAAGCUCAUGGCCCUCAGGUUGAACUUUGCCCCAGCUAUAAGUUCCAGUGGGCUCCUCUCAGUAGCGGUUGGGUGCAAGAGUUUAUCUGCUUUACAUCUUGUUGACUGCAUGAAAGUAAGCAGUGUGGAGUGGCUGGAGUACCUUAGCAGGGCUGGAUCAGUGGUGGAACUUGUGGUGAAGGAUUGCAAGGGAAUCAGCCAGUAUGACCUCCUAAAGUUUGGUCCAGGAUGGAUGAAGCUUGAAAAGUUUGAGUUUGAGAUCAAUGGCAAUUAUUGGUUAAGAGGGCCUCCCCCUGAUCCUUCUUAUGAUGCUCACUACCUGUACAAAUAUGAUAUCUGUUGUGAAAAUUUGAAGGAAUUGAGGUUGGCGCAUAUUAUAACUGUGCCAGAGAUUGGACUUCGUUUUCUCCUAGGAAAGUGCAAAGCAUUGGUGAAACUUUGCCUAGACUAUGUUAUUGGUUUAGAUGAUAGCGAGAUGAUUGCACUGUUCCAGAACUGCAGCAACCUUAGAAGUCUCUCACUUCGCCUCAUGCCUCUGCGCUGUGGACCGGAUAUGGAUUUCAGGACGCCAUUGACUGAUGAAAGCCUUAAGGCCCUAGGUCUGAGCUGCCCUAUGCUUGAGUUUGUUGAGCUCAUCUUUACAUUUUAUUCCAGUAGUUAUCCAUCAGUAAUAGGCUUCACACAGGAGGGUAUGGUAAUGCUGGUUCAGUCUUGUCCUAUUCGUGUUAUCAUGCUUAAUGGCGCUAACAAUUUUGACGAUGAGGGAAUGAAGGGCUUCUCGUCUGCACAAUUCCUGGAGACACUUGAGCUUGUGGAUUGCGAAAGGAUAACUGAUGCUGGGAUGAGUUUCAUAACAUCUAUGCCAUCGUUGAGCAGUCUUACCCUCCGACGAUGCAAUAAAGUUACUGAUAAUGGAAUGGCCGAGCUGGCACGUUCACAGAAAUUGGAGUCUUUGACCGUUGUGGGCUGCCGUCGGAUCUCUAUGAAAGCUGUGCAAGGGGCUGCUAGAUCAGUUCACUAUUCCAAGGAGUCUGAAAGCUUCGCCAGUCUAAAAGGAAUGAAAAAGCUGGAAACAAAUACGCUGUUCCGCCAAAUAUUUCGAUGAAAGGACCAUCUCGCCAAUUCUGAAGGCUUGGACGGUACAAGACAAAUGGAGUGAUCUUUGGGUGUUAUCUUUGGCUGUUAUGUCCCCUUUCCUAUGUAUCAAUGGAAGUCAAGUCAUGGAAAAGAAACGGUCUUUGGAUUAUCAUUGUUUGUUGUAUAUAUGUUUCUUUCCGUUU
RNA transcript from Panicum virgatum (switchgrass), 1681 nucleotides. It is a transcript of the gene named F-box/LRR-repeat protein 14-like, with no coding region annotated. The transcript has a single exon. Lineage: Eukaryota; Viridiplantae; Streptophyta; Magnoliopsida; Poales; Poaceae. The record is from RefSeq and is a predicted model, not a curated record.